AGACGUCUACAUUAGAUACCCCCGUAGUCCCAGCCGUAAACUAUGCGCGUUAGGUGUAUCGGUGACCACGAGUUACCGAGGUGCCGAAGGGAAACCGUGAAACGUGCCGCCUGGGAAGUACGGUCGCAAGGCUGAAACUUAAAGGAAUUGGCGGGGAGCACAACAACGGGUGGAGCCUGCGGUUUAAUUGGACUCAACGCCGGGAAGCUCACCGGAUAAGACAGCGGAAUGAUUGCCGGGCUGAAGACUCUGCAUGACUAGCUG
Molecule: ribosomal RNA, 264 nt
Filed under: uncultured archaeon
Lineage: Archaea
Description: partial 16S ribosomal RNA
Rfam family: Archaeal small subunit ribosomal RNA
Source: RNAcentral